UGGUCUCGCAUUCACGACAGCUUCUUGAGCUCUUCUCACUUUCGCAGCUGCAACAAGCUUCAUUGCUUCAGUGAUUUUCUGGGUGUUCUUCACUGAUUCUAUACGACCACGAAGCUCCUUCAGACUGCAAUUGAUCGAGGAAGAAGAAGGUCUGGAAUUCGAAAUUGAUGGAUUGGAAUUUGGGAUUUGAACUGGGCUGAUGAACGAUCUGAAGGAGAGGGCAGAUGAAUCGAGUGAUGAGGGUUUUGAAGAUACCCACAUUGUUAGAUUCGAGCAAGACAUAAUGUCCGAUUAGGGUUUUCUUCCAGAAUUCAACAAUGGAGGUUGGGGAUGCGUAAAGAGUUUUUGUUUCUUGAUAAAAAUC
This 364-nucleotide long non-coding RNA is filed under the name Lactuca sativa (garden lettuce). RNAcentral describes it as "long non-coding RNA (LSAT_LNC007040)". The record is from RNAcentral. Lineage: Eukaryota; Viridiplantae; Streptophyta; Magnoliopsida; Asterales; Asteraceae.